RNAcentral lists this ribosomal RNA (439 nucleotides) under uncultured bacterium. Its description in RNAcentral is "partial 16S ribosomal RNA". It matches the Rfam family "Bacterial small subunit ribosomal RNA", at positions 338 to 795 of the family's 1533-position model. The record is from RNAcentral.
CCUACGGGAGGCAGCAGUGAGGAAUAUUGGGCAAUGGGGGCAACCCUGACCCAGCCAUGCCGCGUGAGUGAAGAAGGUCUUCGGAUUGUAAAGCUCUUUCGGACGUGACGAUGAUGACGGUAGCGUCUAAAGAAGCACCGGCAAACUUCGUGCCAGCAGCCGCGGUAAUACGAAGGGUGCGAGCGUUGUUCGGAAUUAUUGGGUUUAAAGGGUGCGUAGGCGGGAGAUCAAGUCAGCGGUAAAAUGUCGGGGCUCAACCCCGGCCGGCCGUUGAAACUGGUUUUCUAGAGUUGGAGAGAAGUAUGCGGAAUUCGUGGUGUAGCGGUGAAAUGCAUAGAUAUCACGAAGAACUCCGAUUGCGAAGGCAGCAUACCGGCUCCAUACUGACGCUGAGGCACGAAAGCGUGGGGAUCGAACAGGAUUAGAUACCCUAGUAGUC